RNAcentral lists this transfer RNA (83 nucleotides) under Cotesia glomerata. Its description in RNAcentral is "tRNA-Thr". The record is from RNAcentral. Lineage: Eukaryota; Metazoa; Arthropoda; Insecta; Hymenoptera; Braconidae.
CUCCGGAUAAGCUUAACUGGUAGAGCCCACUUGGCGCGUAACCGAAGAAGAUCUGGGUUCGAUUCCCCAGGUCACCCUGGAGC